This is an RNA transcript of Triticum dicoccoides, 6887 nucleotides long. It is a transcript of the gene named histidine-containing phosphotransfer protein 1-like, with no coding region annotated. The transcript has 7 exons. NCBI's taxonomy places the organism in Eukaryota, Viridiplantae, Streptophyta, Magnoliopsida, Poales, Poaceae. The record is from RefSeq and is a predicted model, not a curated record.
UUCCCCACAGAAACAAAAAAAACAAAAGCAGCCGUCCCACUUUCCCCAUUCCCACGCCGCCGCCGCCGUCGCAUCUCUCCCGCGGCGCCAUGCUCCGGCUGCGAAGCUCCAUCCUCGCCCGUCUCCUCUCCUCUUCUCCAGCCACCUCUCCCGCAUCCCCCUUCCGCCGCCUCCUCUCCGCCAUCGUCCCAGCCCCAAUCACCGGAUUUGCCGCGGAGGAGUACCUCGUCUCCACCUGCGGCCUCGCCCGACCCCAGGCCGUCAAGGCCUCCACCAAGCUCUCCCACCUCAAGUCCCCCGCCAACCUCGACGCCGUCCUCGCCUUCCUCGCCGGCCUCGGUCUCUCCGGCGCCGAUGUCGCCGCCCUCGUCGCCAAGGACCCGCUGUUCCUCUGCGCCAGCGUGGAGAGAACCCUGGCGCCCGUCGUCGCCGGGCUUUCCGGCCUCGGCCUAUCGCGUGCCGACAUCGCGCGCCUCGCCAAACUCACCGACCACAAAUUCCGCCAAAAAGGAAUUGUCUCCAAGCUGCACUACUACCUGCGCGUCUUCGGCUCCUCCGAGAGCCUCCUCCGGGCCAUGAAGUUCUGCACUCUCCUCUCACACAGCGUCGAGAGGGUGGUCAAGCCCAAUGUCGCGUACCUGCGAGAGUGCGGGUUAGGUGACUGCGAUAUUGCCAAGCUGUGCGUCUCAAGACCGAGGAUGUUCGCCACCAACCCGGAGCUUGUUCAGGCGAUGGUGACAUGCGCCGAAAACAUAGGUGUGCCCCGUGGCGCUGUCAUGUUCAGGCACGCGCUGCUUGCUGUUUCAUCUCUUGGGAAAGAGGAGAUCUUGCUGGGAUGUUCAGCCAGAGUGGAGUACUUGAGGAAUACGUUCAGGUGGACGGAUGCUGAGGUGGGCAUUGCUUUUUCUAAGUAUCCAUUGGUGCUGAAUAAGUCCAAGGAAUCACUGCAGCGCAGGUCUGAGUUCCUCAUCUCGGAGGUGGGCUUGGAACCGCCCUACAUUGCUCAACGGUCGGUAAUACUAGGUCUCAGCCUAGAGGGCCGGCUCAGGCCCCGGUACUACGCUGUAAAGUUCCUCAAGGAAAAUGGAUUGCUCAAGUGUGACCCAAGCUACUAUACUGUUUUCAAGGAGUCUGACAUGGUAUUCAAGAAGAAGUUCAUACACCCUCAUAAGGAAGCUGCACCGCACCUUGAAAAAGACUACGAUGCUGCUUGCAAAGGGGAAGUGCCCACUAAUUUCAGAUUCACAUAAGCCAAGAACGGGCUCUGAUGUAACUGUGUGCUGGUUGUCCGCUGCUGUAUGUCUGUUAGAUGCUGGGUUGGUGGUUGUUAACGAGUGAUGAAGCUGAUAAUUUGAUCCCUGGAUACUGAUAUGUAAUGUCACCACUCAGCCGAGAAGAAACCAUGGAUUGGUUAUGAACUUUUUCGUCCUCAUUCAUGUUUUAAACACAUGUAUUGGAACUAAGUAAGUGUGAGAUCAGGCCAUUCUGUAAUGCACUAAAAUUUCAGUUUUCAAGUUAGUUGCCUGUGCAUUGAGACAAUGAGCCAAGGUAAGGUCUCCAUUGUGGGUAAUGAAUUCCUAAUGUUCUACUGCUGUUUUUGCAAUUCAUAGUGGAUAAUUUGAGGAUAAAUCUGAUGCCCUUCCCAAAUCUAGAUUCAUAGAGAUCUGUUUUUGCUUUAACAAACUAAAGAUAGACUUAAUCAUUCAACUAUAGAAGGUCUGCAAGUGAGUUCUCCUUAAGUUGGAUCAGAGGUAACGAUUUGGAGCCAUCGGUCAUAUUGGAAAUACCUGCUGGGCAGCAGGACGAAAUGUACAGGGCUCACAUCUGGUUAUCUGCUAAAGAGAGAUGCACACUUAACUAAACAUCAAACUCUCAUAUGGAGGAGGUUUGGCAUCAUUUAAGUUUAAGUAAACUUAGGUGUGUCUGUCCAUUCUUAUGCUAGUAAUGUUAUUGAGACAAUGGAGAAGCACUUGCCGCUAGUAAACUUAGGUGUAUUAUCCUGCUCUGCACGAUGGCCAUAUUUUUUUUUUUGAAAUGGCCAUAAAUGAUGUGUUUAUUGUGGAUGGCAGCUUAAGAUUUUUGGUUCAUUAUUGUGUUUUGGUCCUGUGGGUAUUUCUUUGUGCCAAGCACCACCAGAAGGUUCACUAGUAGCUAGGUAGUGUUUCUUACUUCUAUGUCUGAGCUAGCUCUUCUUUAGUUUGGCUAAAACUGAAUGAUUAAUUUAUUGCUUUGGUUGGUGUGAUCGUGAAUAUAGUCCCCAAACAGUUGGUAUCAUGUACAUCCAUACUCUGAAUACAUGGUCUGAAUUUCUGCAGAGACUGCAGGUUCUGAAUUACUUGCCUGUGUGUUCAUCUGCACCAAACAGUUGGUAUUCUUGUUUGUAUGAAAAGCUGCACAUAAUAUGCUAGCUUUUGGGGGCACACUACUUCCAACUGGCAACAUAAUCUGUACCUGAAUUAGUUUCUGCCAUCUUGGGUGUUCAUCUGGAUGACAUUGAAGUUUAGCGACGGAUAGUAAAAUUUGAUACCUGUGUCUGUAUGAUUUUCGCAAGGGAAAAUUAAGGUUUUGAACUAUGUUUGAUCUGAAAAGACAAAUAAUUUCAGUACUUUAUUUAACUUCCAAAGUAACUGCCAAAGCAUGCUAGAAUUAUUUUAACUUCUAGUUGUCAAGCAGAUAAGUUGUAGUUAUCAUGAUCUGGUAUUUUCUUUGUAACAAAGUAAGCAUUGCAUGCUGUCUGUACUUAAACCUUUCAUAUGUCCACUUAUCUCAAGAUUAGGUGUUUGCUACAUGUCAUUUUGCCCUGUUAAUGCUCUGCUUAUUUUACUUGUCGAUGCAGGGUUAUGGAAAGGCUCCUGGGUGUAAGAAUUACUUUUGUUGGAGAUGGACAUUAAAGGUUUCAUCAAGAUUUUGUUGCCUUGUUGGGAAUGAUAAAUGGAUAUUUUGUGGUGCUCCAUGCAGUAAAUGUGUAUGUGAUGCAUCAUACACUUGAGUGUUUAUAUGUUUCAUCAAGUUUGUCUGACCUGAUAUUGGAGGUAUGCCUUGGCUUUAAUAAAAGUUGGGGCGGGGGGAAACCCCUUUUGUUUCAAAAAAAUUUAUAUUGGAGGUCAACUGUACAUUGACUUGUCCUGCCCAGUGAAAUGAUAAACCCGUUCCCCUUAUAAGUUGUAAUUGUUGUGAUUGCUACGAGAGGCUUCUUGUAUUUUGCUCUAUUUCAGAGUGUAGCCCUAUUGCUUCUUGGUAUCAUUACUAACAAGUGGCAUGUCACUUUUACCCAUGCUCUUUACAAACAGAAGUACCCUCAGAUUUUAGUUUAUACAUAGAGUCAGCUGUUGUUGUCGAGGCUGCUAGUAAACUGACUUGAGUAUGCAUUUUCCUUGUUGAUCGCCUGAUUCGUUUCGAGUGUGGUUGUAGUUUGUGGAUAUGAUACUCCUUUAGUUCCACCGGAAUGGUACAUAUAUCCUGGAUGGAGGUGAUGCAUAUGUAUCCUUUUUUUUUCCUUUUCCUUUUUGUACAUUUAAAUAGAAACACACCAAUCUAGUUUUUAGAUAGCUGCUCAAAGAUCAAACUUGACUCCGGCCAAGAAUCCGUCGUUCGUAGAUACUGAUGCCCAUUACUUCAGAUUUAAUUGCUGAAAUCAAUCGGUAUGAGGAAACACUGAUAAUACUCAUUACACCAAUGUAUAUGAAGAAACCAUUAAGCGCUAUUUUCUCAGCGAGUCCGUUUAUUGGAUAUUUUGUUCUUCAAAAUGUUAUUUUUGAGUUAUUAGAGCUAGGUUGAUUGUUGUGAUUGCUAGCAGAUGCCUCUUUUACCAUUUUCAAACAUCUCAUCAUUCCUCUGUGUGUAUUUAAUUCUGUAACUAAAUUGCUACUUUGCUAGGAUGCACAAGUUGACAUUUUUCAAUUGGCCAAGCAAACUGAGUUUGUUAGUCUACGCCUUUUUCUGAUGCUGUUAACUUCCCAUGAACCCGUGCAUUUUGUUUUGUAUCUAGAUGGCCCAUAACAGUGGACUAAAGGUUGUCGGUUUCUUGAAAAGUGGUUUAACAUGGUGGUGUGGAAGUGUCGUGGCUCGGCUGUGGGAGCUAGAGACCUUAUCAUGCAGAGAUCUUAUCAUACAAAUCUCAUGUAUGCUGGUGAGGAAGACGCAUAUCUUGCCCUGUUAGGACUUGUGAGUCUGGGAGAAGAUGCUAUUUUAUUUAUUUAUUUUACUGAGAGGCUGUAAAGGUUGGAACUGAAAGCAAUGGGAUAUCAGCCGUGUGCUUGCAGUAACACAAAGGAGAUGGUUCCAUGGUAUACUGGCGAAGAGCUCUGACUUGAUGAUCUGUUGUGUGUCUCUUCUCUGGUGCCUAGCUAGCUAGUGGGAAUUGUAGAAACAACAUACAGGUAGGGAAUGGGUUGAUUGAUGAAUGCAGUGACGUACCAGGAGAAGAUGUUCUAAAACUGGAUUUGGAUGCAUUGUGAUAUCCUCUUCUUCCGGGUGAUCGAUGAAGCAUGGAGCCUGGGGUUUUGCGAUUCUGAAGGCUCUGUUAGUUGAUGAUGCCCUGCCCUGAAGCAGUUUCAGUAACAAGUAUGAUGCACUCGCAGGAGUUUUAUCCUACACUGCUCAUUUUGAAUUCUGGAAGGUAUGUAUUAUCCUAUAUAUUGUAAUACACAAGGUGAGACCCGUGUGUGCUGUCGCCUGCCUGCUGGAUUCAUCAGCUCAACUGAGUGGAGUGAGGGAACCUCCUCAACGAAUAAUAAGUUGAAUAAAGUAGAUACAUCUGGUGGUCUAAUUAAUCCGUACAUUGAUGAGCUCCAUGCUGUUUUGCUUAUGGUGUCUUGGAUCUUCACUUGGAUGUAAUUGAACGAAUCAGAGAGCAUGUAAAAAAUCAAUUUAUAUGUUAUAUACAUUUGUACUCUGAAUCUGAAUGAUAGUUGAAAUUUAACUCUGAAACUCUGAAUCUUUCAGACUUCAUGGGUGAACUCUGUCCUUACACCCAAGUCAAGUGCAAAGCUAUAUCAGUAAGGGUUUAAACAUCUUACAGGGGCCAAGUUAAUUUGAAUCAGAGCUUAAAUGUAACAACAAUUGCUUUUUUCUUUCAAUGUCAUGUUUUAUAUUUGGCACCAGAAAUUUGAUGCUAGCUGGCUUACACUAGAUUUUUGAGUGUUGUAAAAAUGAUAUCUCCACAACUAUAUCAAGCUUGUGCUGCUGAUCUUUGCGUCAGAACUUAUUAAUGCCAGAUGUGAUACUGGCCGGCAUAAAUUACCAGCUAUCAAGAAUAUUACUGCCAGAGAACAUAUCAUUAAAUCUAUCUUCAUAUUUAACAUAUUUGUGUACAUUAUGGUUUGCUUCCAUGGUUCGUAGGCUCCUGAACUCCUGUUUUUAUUUAGGCGUGAAUGUGCUUCACUACUCGAUACUUUCUUAUGCUAUUUGUUAGCUUAUGAGAUGACAACAAGAUUAUAUCGUACUGCUUGUUCUCUGCAAAAUCUAGUGUCCUCAUAUAUGAUUUGGAUUGAUCCUGGUGGUCCAUUGGUUCAAUAGGUACUCAUGCAGUCGAGCUAUUUAUAAUUCAGGAGUCCUACUUCAAGAGAUAUGUUAUAGGCAUAUUUAAACUGGAAUUAUUAACUACAUUUUCCAUUGACAGGUCACCAUGGUUGUCUUGCAAGAUCAUCCUGCCUUGCCAUAUUAGCAUUAUCUUAAUCUGUGGGAUUUUUCGAAUCUGUGGGCAUGCACCUGCAAUUCCUCAUGAGUCAUGACAAGCAAUCACCCUUCUGACUAGGCACUGGUUUUCUUGUGUAUAAUUCCAGGUGUUUAUUGAAGGUUUUGUCUCUUUUCUUUUUUUGCUAUAGUUGGCUUGGCUGUAUACCUUUUGAAAUCGGGGGCAUGUGGUGCAGUAUGAGGUAUGUUCUUAAUACUCCAAUUCUAUUUGAAGUGAUUCCCACUUUUUUUUUUAAUUUCUCAAAUCACAGAUAAGAAUAUUUUUUGAAAUUACAUAUGCCCUCUAAUUACUGAGGGAUGACAAACAUUUAAUUUGGUUUAAUCUGCAUAUUCUAUCAACAUGGAAAUAACAUUACAUGUUGGUCUCACAGCGCAUAUGGUGCUGUCCAGGCAUAGUUGAAAUCACAGUCAACCGUCGGUUAUACACUUGCUGUUGUUUGAGCUGGUGGCUAGUUUUCUCCGAAGACAAGGUGCAUCAUGUGCUCCAUUUUUGCAGAAACAGUGGAGAGCUGACAUAUCAUGUUAGCCAAGAGUUGUUGCACUUACCACCGGGGAGUCAUGAGUCCUGAUAUGUGGCAUGUCUAUGGACUUGUUCAUCCCUGUAUUGUAUUGACAUUUGUAUUGAAACUAAGAGAGUGUGAGAUUAGGUCAUACUGCAAAUGCAUUGAAAUAUCAGUGAGUAAUAUAUUUCCAUGAAGGAAGGUCCUCAAUUUGGCCGUGGCGAUGAUAUGAGAUAGUCUAAUUUGAAGGGAACUUGUAAUUUCCCUUCGGAAGACAAUUCUGGACCCAUUUUUUGGGGGAGCAAUGUUGGACUUGUUGACGUCCAUGCAUCUUUGUUUGAAGAGAUUAGUGUCCGGUAAAGACUGAGCCUCCUCUGUUUGCACCAAUCAAAGGUUUGAUGUGUUAUUUCUAUGCCUAGCAAGGUAGCAGAUAUGAAGGAAGCUAUAUCAAAUGGUUAUAUCGUGAUUUAAGCUCACCAAAUGGUUAGAAUAUUAACUUUCGGUUUAGCGUGGCAUCCAAUCAGCCUAGGGCCCUAGACUGAUUGAAUGAACACAUUCAUAGGCAUUAACAGAGCUAGGCAGAGCUAGGCAUUAGCAGAUGCAAGCUGGCUUUUCGAGAUGGCAUCCUAUCUUCAGUGCUGUAAAAAUAUAUCUUCACAGCUAUAUUGAACUUGUGCUGUGGUCCUUUGUUCA